AUGAGCCGCCCGUCGCCGGCGCCCGCGCUGGACGGCGGGGUCCUCCUCGAAGAGAUCCUCGAGGAGAUCCUCCUCCGCCUCGCUCCGCAGCCCUCCUCCCUCCCGCGCGCAUCCCUCGUGUGCACGCGCUGGCGCCGCAUCCUCGCCGACCCCGGCUUCCGCCGCCGCUUCCGCGAGCACCACGGCCGGAACAACCCACCGCCACUGCUCGGCUUCUUCGAAAAGGAAUUCCGCGUAGACAAGCCGCCCAUCUUCAACCCCACGGCGACGGGCGAGCGGGACCGCAUCCCACCCGCGCGCUUCUCCGCGCCAUGGAGCCUGGGCGAGGGCUGGGAGUUUCUCGGCUGCCGCCACGGCCUCGCCCUCCUCAUCUGCCGGGCGCGCCGCGAGGCCGUCGUGUGGGAUCCCCUCACGGGCCACCAGCGCCGCGUCGGGUUUCCACCGAGGUGGAAGUCCGUCCAGAACGCUGCGGUGAUGUGCGCCGCCGGCGGCGGCCAAGAUCGGCACGUAGAGACUGAACAUUCGACUUCGACUUGCAUUGCAAACCCCAGCGUCCUGCUUAGGAAUUCAUUUUGCUGGCUUCUGUCUGGAGGUGGAGGUGCCAUCCUGGAGUUUGAUUUUCAAAACCAGAGCCUUGCGGUUAUCCAGAAGCCGGCGGACGCCGACUACUACUGGUCCUUUUACGUGGUACAGACAGAGCAUAGUAACCUGGGCCUUGCUGUUUUGUCAGAGAGAGAUUUUGUAAGCAACAUCAUCCAAUUAUGGGAGAGGAAAUCUAACUGCGAUGGUGUAGUUGGAUGGGAGCUGCAGAAAACCAUUCAACUAGACGGGCUCUUUUCACCAGGACCGACCAUGGGGCAAAAUGCGGUGAUGAUGCAAGGGUACGAUGAGGACACCAAUGUGAUUUUCUUAUCUACCUUUUUCGGCAACUACAUGCUCCAGCUUGAGACCACACAGUUCACAAAUCUUCCUAAAACACGAAGAAAUUGCAUGUCUAGCAGGACCUUUUAUCCCUACAGAAAUUUCUACAUUACAGGUAGCAGAGUUGGUGGUCAAGAUGGUGGAGCUGAAAUGUCAAUUAAUUAG
RNAcentral lists this ribosomal RNA (1086 nucleotides) under Triticum aestivum (bread wheat). RNAcentral's name for it is "partial small subunit ribosomal RNA". Lineage: Eukaryota; Viridiplantae; Streptophyta; Magnoliopsida; Poales; Poaceae. The record is from RNAcentral.